UACGUAGGGCGCAAGCGUUAUCCGGAAUUAUUGGGCGUAAAGAGCUCGUAGGCGGUUUGUCGCGUCUGCCGUGAAAGUCCGGGGCUCAACUCCGGAUCUGCGGUGGGUACGGGCAGACUAGAGUGCAGUAGGGGAGACUGGAAUUCCUGGUGUAGCGGUGAAAUGCGCAGAUAUCAGGAGGAACACCGAUGGCGAAGGCAGGUCUCUGGGCAACAACUGACGCUGAGGAGCGAAAGCGUGGGGAGCGAACAGG
Molecule: ribosomal RNA, 253 nt
Filed under: uncultured bacterium
Lineage: Bacteria
Description: partial 16S ribosomal RNA
Rfam family: Bacterial small subunit ribosomal RNA
Source: RNAcentral